GCUAGAGUAUCAUCCUCUUGGUAAAACUACGACUGAACACAGAUGAACAGCAAAGAAGUGGAUGCAACAACUGAACAAGUUGUUUGAGAGGUUUCUUUGGAUGUUUAGACAUUUCUUUCACCUACGUUUGCUUUUUACAGUGUUAUUUCAAGAGUUCCUCUGGAGCCCCAGUCAGCAGCCCCUGCUGUGUCUUCAUCGCCUAUAAUGAUAAACUGAUACUGGACACCGGGGAAGAGUCUAAUGUCACUGUAUUGUAUUGCUUUGCACCGGUGCCGGUACGCCUGUCUGCUUCUCCAAACUGGGGGCGUGCCGACCGUCAUCUACUGUUGGCUGCAGGUGAAGGAACAGAGCGGCGGUGCCGUCCUCCUGGUGGUGAGGGAGCCUCCAACUGUGGAGGAGCAGCACGGCUUCAUCACCUGAUACAGCCUGUCAGAAGGAGAACAAUGCAACAAAUGCCGUUAGGAGCCCCGGAAGACACCGGAGGACACCGGAGGACACCGGAGGACACAGAGGCACAUGAUU
Molecule: long non-coding RNA, 522 nt
Organism: Sebastes umbrosus (honeycomb rockfish)
Lineage: Eukaryota; Metazoa; Chordata; Actinopteri; Perciformes; Sebastidae
Exons: 5
Source: RefSeq, a predicted model, not a curated record